Molecule: small RNA, 66 nt
Filed under: Gloeomargarita lithophora Alchichica-D10
Lineage: Bacteria; Bacillati; Cyanobacteriota; Cyanophyceae; Gloeomargaritales; Gloeomargaritaceae
Description: Cyanobacterial functional RNA 1
Rfam family: Cyanobacterial functional RNA 1
Source: Rfam by way of RNAcentral
GCGGAGACGCAAGUUUCCGUUCACUCCUCACACCACACUCUGGCCUAAGCUGGUGCUUAGGUCUUU